Mauremys reevesii (Reeves's turtle) is the source of this 358-nucleotide long non-coding RNA. RefSeq lists it as uncharacterized. The record is from RefSeq and is a predicted model, not a curated record. Lineage: Eukaryota; Metazoa; Chordata; Testudines; Geoemydidae. The transcript is spliced from 3 exons.
CACUGCCUGCUUUCCUGGAGAGCAGAGCUGCUUUCAGCCAGGAUGGCAAUGGGAAAGCCUUCACUUCAGCAUAAUGUGCUCAUAAAACACAACAGCAGUACAAUGUGGAGAGGGAUAAAUUAAAAAUUAAUGGGCCCUGCCAGAGCUUGCAUUUCUCUGAGCCAGUAGAUGAUGGAAGAAAAGAGUGUUCUCCCUCCAUCCCAGAGCACGGGCUACAUGAAACCAGUAAAUAGCCGUGGGAAUGCGUCAUUCUAGAGAUCUGAAUCCAGCUUGUACUCAGGUGGGAGUUGCAACCAGCGCCUUCUAUAAGAACCUCUACACCUUCCCAAGAGCCCUUUUCCUGUAGAAUAACAACCCC